GCCGGGUGUGGUGGCUCACGCCUGUAAUCCCAGCACUUUGGGAGGCUGAGGCGGGUGGAUCAUCUGAGAUCAGGAGUUCGAGACCAGCCUGGCCAACAUGGUGAAACCCCGUCUCUA
Molecule: non-coding RNA, 117 nt
Organism: Macaca mulatta (Rhesus monkey)
Lineage: Eukaryota; Metazoa; Chordata; Mammalia; Primates; Cercopithecidae
Source: Rfam